GUGCUUGCUUUGGCAGCACAUACACUAAAUUUGAAACUAUACAGAGAAGAUUAGCAUGGCCUCUGUGCAAGGACAGAUUCGUGAAGCGUUCCAUAUUUUU
RNAcentral lists this small nuclear RNA (100 nucleotides) under Procavia capensis (Cape rock hyrax). Lineage: Eukaryota; Metazoa; Chordata; Mammalia; Hyracoidea; Procaviidae. The record is from RNAcentral.